GACGAACGCUGGCGGCGUGCUUAACACAUGCAAGUCGAACGGAAAGGCCCUGCUUUUGUGGGGUGCUCGAGUGGCGAACGGGUGAGUAACACGUGAGUAACCUGCCCUUGACUUUGGGAUAACUUCAGGAAACUGGGGCUAAUACCGGAUAGGAGCUCCUGCUGCAUGGUGGGGGUUGGAAAGUUUCGGCGGUUGGGGAUGGACUCGCGGCUUAUCAGCUUGUUGGUGGGGUAGUGGCUUACCAAGGCUUUGACGGGUAGCCGGCCUGAGAGGGUGACCGGCCACAUUGGGACUGAGAUACGGCCCAGAAUCCUACGGGAGGCAGCAGUGGGGAAUAUUGCACAAUGGGCGGACGCCUGAUGCAGCAACGCCGCGUGCGGGAUGACGGCCUUCGGGUUGUAAACCGCUUUCGCCUGUGACGAAGCGUGAGUGACGGUAAUGGGUAAAGAAGCACCGGCUAACUACGUG
This 468-nucleotide ribosomal RNA is filed under the name uncultured bacterium. Its description in RNAcentral is "partial 16S ribosomal RNA". It matches the Rfam family "Bacterial small subunit ribosomal RNA", at positions 28 to 507 of the family's 1533-position model. The record is from RNAcentral.